GGCCCCCGAAGUAUCACUAUGCGACCGCAUAGAAGGUUUCAAUGCGGUCGCAUAAACCAAUAAAUUUUUCCCCAAAUUUUCCUGCAACCUUCUAUGCGACCGCAUAGAUGGUUACACUAUGCGGUCGCAUAGACUAACCAACUAUGAAGUCUUUGCAUUUUGGUCCCUGAACUUUUCUUGUUGCUUCUCUUGACUUCUUUCUUCGAUUUCCUCAUCUUUUCAACAAAUGUUAUCCUCCAAUUGAUGAUUGACACCAUCGAAUCUCUUGCCACUCAU
This 276-nucleotide long non-coding RNA is filed under the name Olea europaea (common olive). Its description in RNAcentral is "long non-coding RNA (OEUR_LNC013577)". Lineage: Eukaryota; Viridiplantae; Streptophyta; Magnoliopsida; Lamiales; Oleaceae. The record is from RNAcentral.